AUGAUUGAAGGUUGUAUCAGCUUUACUUCGAGUGUCUCUAUUACAAUAAAUUUACUUGGAUUAAAUUGCGAAAUUCUCCCAAAUUCAACCCCUUGAUGGAGGAAAUACAUCAAUUUUCUCUUCAAAUAAUUGUAAUCUAAAGCGACAGGAUAGAAUUUCUUAUUUGGUGAUACAUUUGAGUUUGAUUGUCUUCAACCUCUGUUUUUGAGGUCAGCAGUCGCUGGGCCAUGGCAAAAAUCGGCAAAACCAACACUACCCAAUUUUGUCUUCAAGCCUAUGCAUAUAAGCCUUUGUUUUUCUUCUGUUUCACUCAUACUUCCAAUCUCCAUCACUGCUUUUUUAGCUUUCUUGGUUUUCUUUGUCAGCUUUGAGAGAAACCCUUUUGCCUAAAAGGAGUUUGGGUCAUUCAGUUACCACAUCCAGGCUUUAAGCCCUGAUUAUGGGUUCAGGAAUUUGGUAUAAGAAUAUAAUCAGCAAAAGGAAAGUUAAAUCACGUAAAGCGAAGAUGAUGGCUGCAGAGAGGAUCUCUGCUCUCUCAGAGGGUGUCUAGCACUAGCGAAUGGCUGCAGUGUCGUUCUCUCCAGAGAAUAUGUUGCUGCUAGAAAGAUUCAGACUGCAUAUAUACCGUGCACAUGUUGCAAGGAGAAGUGUUUGUCGAAUGAGAGGAAACGCAAGGUUACAGAAGCUGGUGCAGUGUGAUUCUGUUAAGAAUCAAGCACAUACUACCUUGGGUUGACUGCAUCAUUCGAUUUGAUGGUGUUCGAUCCUGUAUAGUAUUUGUCAAUAUAAUUAUUGGCGGUGUUCGAUUUGAUGGAUCAGAUAAGAUCAAGCCGCAUCAUUCGAUUAGGGCUUGAUACUUAAUCUCGGGACAUUGACACAUGCAAUUCAUGGUCAUAUCAUUGUUCCAAGUAACAAGUAGUACUAGUAAGUUUCCUUAAUCAGUUUCAAAUCAAUUUAUCACCAUCAAUUAUAUAGUUUCCCAGCUCUUAACUAAUUGUAGACAACAAAUUGACAGCUGAGUAAUUAUGGGAUCCUUUGAACUUAUAUAGUGGAAAAUAGCACAGCUGUUAAAGAUAAAUAAGUGGAUAAUUGAUUGAUUAAAAUGCCUAAGGAGAAUAAGAGGGAUUGGUUGUGUAUAAUAGUAGCUUUUGAGUACUAACUACUAAAUGAAGCAAAAUUAUUGCAUCAGUACUCAGCUGCACUUGUUAAUAAUUAUGCCAGCUUACAAUAUCACAUGGGAGUCAUUGCCUGAUUGCACUUUUUGCUAUUUUCACACCCCUUUAGACCUCCAAAGUAAGGGCACUCGCAACGACAUCGAAAAACGGGCUAGACCUGAGGCGCUCCCGAGAAACACCUAUAGCAGUGGAGCAAUGUCGGCCGAGGCCAUGGGUUGGACCUGAGCGGCAGACAUUGCGGUCUAAGCUGCACGCGCGCCUACCUUUCACCGCCCAAUCAAGCAGCACAUUUGUGAGCGAGGAGAGGGAAGAAAGAGUUUUUUUUUAAUUUCUUUUAUUUUUUUCAUUUAUCCAAUUUUGUUCAUUUCUUUUCUUUAAUUAUUUAUUUGUGCUAGUUUAAUUAAAAACGAAUUUUCUCAUUUCUAAUUAGGAUUUUUAUGUGAUUUGUAAUUUUUUUAUAUUUUCAUUAUGAAACUUUCAUAUUUCUAAUUA
Molecule: long non-coding RNA, 1667 nt
Organism: Salvia splendens (bonfire salvia)
Lineage: Eukaryota; Viridiplantae; Streptophyta; Magnoliopsida; Lamiales; Lamiaceae
Exons: 4
Source: RefSeq, a predicted model, not a curated record